AACGAACGCUGGCGGCAUGCCUAACACAUGCAAGUCGAACGAGAUCUUCGGGUCUAGUGGCGCACGGGUGCGUAACGCGUGGGAAUCUGCCCUUUGGUUCGGAAUAACAGUUGGAAACGACUGCUAAUACCGGAUGAUGACGAAAGUCCAAAGAUUUAUCGCCAGAGGAUGAGCCCGCGUAGGAUUAGCUAGUUGGUGUGGUAAAGGCGCACCAAGGCGACGAUCCUUAGCUGGUCUGAGAGGAUGAUCAGCCACACUGGGACUGAGACACGGCCCAGACUCCUACGGGAGGCAGCAGUGGGGAAUAUUGGACAAUGGGCGAAAGCCUGAUCCAGCAAUGCCGCGUGAGUGAUGAAGGCCUUAGGGUUGUAAAGCUCUUUUACCCGGGAUGAUAAUGACAGUACCGGGAGAAUAAGCUCCGGCUAACUCCGUGCCAGCAGCCGCGGUAAUACGGAGGGAGCUAGCGUUGUUCGGAAUUACUGGGCGUAAAGCGCACGUAGGCGGCUUUGUAAGUUAGAGGUGAAAGCCUGGAGCUCAACUCCAGAACUGCCUUUAAGACUGCAUCGCUUGAAUCCAGGAGAGGUGAGUGGAAUUCCGAGUGUAGAGGUGAAAUUCGUAGAUAUUCGGAAGAACACCAGUGGCGAAGGCGGCUCACUGGACUGGUAUUGACGCUGAGGUGCGAAAGCGUGGGGAGCAAACA
RNAcentral lists this ribosomal RNA (700 nucleotides) under Sphingomonas sp. enrichment culture clone NB-2. RNAcentral describes it as "bacterial SSU rRNA". It matches the Rfam family "Bacterial small subunit ribosomal RNA", at positions 28 to 774 of the family's 1533-position model. Lineage: Bacteria; Pseudomonadati; Pseudomonadota; Alphaproteobacteria; Sphingomonadales; Sphingomonadaceae. The record is from RNAcentral.